RNAcentral lists this small RNA (125 nucleotides) under Marmota monax (woodchuck). Lineage: Eukaryota; Metazoa; Chordata; Mammalia; Rodentia; Sciuridae. The record is from RNAcentral.
GCUGGGUGUGGUGGCGAACACCUGUAAUCCCAGUGGCUUGGGAGGCUGAGACAGGAGGAUUAGGAGUUCAAAGCCAGCCUUAGCAAUGGCGAGACACUAAGCAACUCAAUGAGACCCUGUCUCUA